This 3088-nucleotide long non-coding RNA is filed under the name Taeniopygia guttata (zebra finch). Its description in RNAcentral is "lncRNA (ENSTGUG00000020269.1)". Lineage: Eukaryota; Metazoa; Chordata; Aves; Passeriformes; Estrildidae. The record is from RNAcentral.
UUUAAAGUCCUGCACAAAAAAUAGUCAAGCUGGGUUUAUUUUAAUGUUCUGGACUAAGUUUGUAAAUGUUGCUUCCAUAGCUGAUGGCUGACAAGGGAUCCAGGCUUCUGCAGGUAUUGAGACAUGGACCCAGAGGGAUUCCAGUCCACUAGGAAAUUAAUGUGGAUUUUAGGAUGCUGAAAAAUAAUGCAUGUCGGUUAGUCAGGUCUGAAUGCCAAAUGCAUAUCUUAGACAUUGUAGCUCUGUGUUUCUGUGGAUAAAGUUCCAUUCCUUUUUAUCCUAACUUGCUCUAUCAAUAAAAAAUCCCCAUUUCAAGUAUGAAUGCCAUUGCUUAAUAGCUAUAUCAAAUCUCUUUCUGUUUCAGAACUAUUCUAAUCUUUCCACAUUCUCAUCAGUGGAAAUGGUCUCACAUAUGUCCAAAUUUCUAGCCUACUUUAGUAUGUGGAGAUUAAUUCUAAAAUAUGACUAUGUGAAAGAGGAUUUCUGUCAAUAGAGAAUAGUACAGGAGACUAGACUGAUUGUAACCUUUUUAAAGCUGCACUUAUCAUUAACUUUUGUACUGAGAGUCAAUUUUUUCAACACCAGAGCCUUCAAAUCUGGGAGCUGACGCUGCUUAGCAGCUUACUGGAGAAAAAUACAAAGCUUCAGAAUCAAAUCCCUUGUUUUUGGAGAAUGAUCCUCUCACAGCAGCAAAUGCUUAGCUGUAUGUUUGAAUAUAUUUCAUUGUAGAUAAUUUAAGAUAUUCAGAAAGAGUUGGUUUUAUGUUGUCUGUGACUACCAAUAGCAAAUUCCUUUCUUAUCUGUGCAUUGUAAAUAUUUAAAAUGUGGAAAAAAAGCAUCUCUUUUUCUUCUGAUUUCCAUUCAGCACUUUUACUAUCACCUUUUUAGGUGUGCUGUAGUUUAUAUUCAAUGAGUACGAUUGCUAUAGGAUACAAACCAAUAGGUAAAGCAUUUUAGCAUUUAUCUGUUUUCUAUAAAAAAGACCUGGUUUUUCUCAUAUGCUGUUUACAGUCUGUGUCUCCUCUUGGAAGAACUGUGCAUGGAUGUAAAAUACCAAAGUAUAAUGCUAACCAAUUGCACUGAUUUUUUAUAAUCCAGAAAAAUUAAAGCAGUUUGACACAAAUUAAAGUUGCUACUGCAGUGUUUCUGUAGGGAGACAGAUUAAGGUGUUACAGAAAUGCAGAAAACACAAAGAAAUUGAAGACAGUGUGCUGAUAACAAAACAAAUAAUUAAGUAGAAAUGAGCUCCUGCUAUAUCUGGGUCUUGUUCCCUCACCUACUAAGUGCAAAGAUCAAGGCUUAAUUUAUAGUUGGGUUAGUAAGUAUUGAGUGUGUAGUAUAGAUUCCCUACUGUGUCUUACACAGAUUUAACAGAAAUGGUCAUAAAUCGUGAUGGAUUAAAAAAUUCCUCCAUUCUGAAAUCCCAAAACACAACAUUUUCUGUUGCUGUACCUGAUUUUAAGCAGAGGUGAGGCAGAAGCUUUGCUCUCUCUCAGUCUGCUAUGGCUCAAAUUAAAAAUGUCGCAAAAAUUAGCACCACCUUUUCAAAUGCUGUAGACUACUUGUUUUCAUUCUAAGAAAAGGCAGAAAUAAUAGCAUCUGAAUAGGUGCUGAGCUAUUUUAAAGACAGUGCUAAGGCAUGGUUUUACAAAGUCUGUCUAUAGAGACCACAGGACUUUGGCUUGUAAGGAACAUUGAUAAAUUACUGUUGUUAAGAGAUGGAACCUUUCACAUUCAGAAACUCUACCAGACAGUUCCCUUGUUACACCAUCAGACAGUUUGCUCUGGAAAAGGGUGUUCAUCAUUCAAGGCCUGAUCUCACAGUUAAUUUGCCUAUUCUCUGCCUCCAUGUGUGGUGUUAUCAUCCCAAUGAGUCUUCAGAACAUGAAUUAUCGUUUGACCAUUUUCAAAAUACUUCUUGCCGAAACAAUUUCCUUUAUUCGUGGCUUUCUAUUGGGAAACACUUAAUUCCAUGGAGAUUGUGGGGCUCCCUGAGUCAAACAUGGCUGCAGCUACAAAAUCUAUGCAGCGUUUCUUCUCACUAGAAUGAAAAUACUGCAUAUUUCAAGAAAGUUAAAAGUAGAUGUCCUGAGGUUUAUUCACAGGUCUGAUACUCAGAAAAUCAAGUUGAAUUUUUUUGCCAUUAAAUCUUUUCAUCUCGUUACAAAGAACACAGCCAGCUUUUUCAGCCUCCACAACAGAGACAAUAUAUUUUCUUCCUCCUAACUGCUAUUUAUCUUGUUUGCAAACUUCAGUUAUAAACUUCUUGGGUUUGUUAAUGGGUGCCUGACUGUUUGUACAGAGCCUGGGACAGGGAUCUGAUUGAGACUUCAGGAAGUCACCAGACUUCAAACAACAGCAGUAACAUUCUGGUAUGAGUCAACUGCUGAAAAUGCUCCUGUAAGGAACUGGUUAAUUAAAGUCUGCCAUUACUGUGACUUUGUUCCAUCACAACAACUGUUUUGUGCCUGAAUCAUGGGUUACAUGUAGCAUGCUCUUGUUAAAUUAAAUGUACUUUUGCCAAAGAGUAACAAUUUUUGAUACAUGCUUCUUACAUUUUAUCUGUUCUCACUCAGAGAAGUUUCCCACUGAUGUUUUUCUGCUUCAAAUAAUCCUAGAGUCAUCGUUGAGCUGCAGUGGUAGGAUUGGAUGCAAGAAGAUAAAGAAUUACUUCGUCCUAAAGUUACACAUGGAUAAGACCUCUUUUCAAUAUCAUAUCCUUCUGUCUUUCAUGCUUUUCAAAGAUGUUUGACAUUAAAAAGAAAGCCAGAAGAAGAAAAUAUUAAGCCAGAGAUAAUUUCUAUUUUGAAAUAAAGAAUCAAAAUUAUUAGUAGUAAUAUAUGAGAUGUAGCUAGACUAAUUUGUUUCUAAAUCUCUAGCCAGUAUAUAUGAAGCUAUGAUUAAGUUCCACUAUUUUCCAAAACAUUACUAAAAAUACUUAAGGAAUAUAACUAAAUAAAUAGCAUUUUAAAAACCCCAAAUAUUUUGAUGUGUUACCUUGGAUUUGAGAGCAGUAACUUCCUUUGCCCAUAUCCUGUUGUGACGACAGAAGGAUGUUUUCAAAAGACAAAAAAAAAAAAAAAAAAAA